UGAGGAAUUUUGCGCAAUGGGAGCAAUCCUGACGCAGCAACGCCGCGUGGGUGAUGAAGGCCUUCGGGUCGUAAAGCCCUGUCAGGUGGGAAGAACGUCCUGUGGAUGCAUAAGCCAUGGGAGUGACGGUACCACCAGAGGAAGCACCGGCUAACUCCGUGCCAGCAGCCGCGGUAAUACGGAGGGUGCGAGCGUUAUUCGGAAUUACUGGGCGUAAAGCGCGUGUAGGCGGGGAGGCAAGUCUGAUGUGAAAGCCCCGGGCUUAACCUGGGAAGUGCAUUGGAAACUGCUUUUCUUGAGUGCUGGAGAGGAAGGGGGAAUUCCCGGUGUAGAGGUGAAAUUCGUAGAGAUCGGGAGGAAUACCAGUGGCGAAGGCGCCCUUCUGGACGGCAACUGACGC
Molecule: ribosomal RNA, 400 nt
Filed under: uncultured bacterium
Lineage: Bacteria
Description: bacterial SSU rRNA
Rfam family: Bacterial small subunit ribosomal RNA
Source: RNAcentral